CAAAGAGAAAUUAAUUGGUUUGGAUGCAAGAAACAACAAAUAAACAUGCAAAUGCAAUUGAUUCAAUUGACGAGAAAAAGACUAUGGAUGAAUGGAGUUGUUGGGGUUUACAAUUUCAUCAAAUCCACUCUCUCUUAUCUACUCCUCUUAUUUAAUUUGCUUUGUUAUCUAAUUGUCAUGCAAACUUUCUUAGUCUACCCUUAACCCGAUCCCUUGGCGAAAAGAGCCUAUUAUUAAUUACUGGCUUGUUAUCCCUAGCCUCCCCUAGUAACUAAUAAUGCAUUAUAAACGGAANCGAAAAAAAUUGAUCGUCCU
Molecule: long non-coding RNA, 315 nt
Filed under: Vigna radiata
Lineage: Eukaryota; Viridiplantae; Streptophyta; Magnoliopsida; Fabales; Fabaceae
Description: long non-coding RNA (VRAD_LNC013416)
Source: RNAcentral